CCCCUAGACGUUCUGGGCUGCACGCGCGCUACAAUAAUACGCACAGCGAGUAUCACCGAGCUCGAAAGGGCAAGGUAAACAAUAGAAAAGGUACUGUAAUGGUUAUAGAUCCUUGUAAUUAUUGAUCUUCAACGAGGAAUUCCUAGUAAGUAUGUGUCAUCAUCACGCACUGAUUACGUCCCUGCCCUUUGUACGCACCGCCCGUCGCUCCUACCGAUUGAGUGAGCCGAUGAAACUGCCGGAUGUGGACUAUUCAUAGUCUGCAGAAGAUAUUUGAAUCGUAGCGCUUAGAGGAAGGAGAAGUCGUAACA
This 311-nucleotide ribosomal RNA is filed under the name uncultured eukaryote. Its description in RNAcentral is "partial 18S ribosomal RNA". It matches the Rfam family "Eukaryotic small subunit ribosomal RNA", at positions 1470 to 1796 of the family's 1831-position model. The record is from RNAcentral.